CACUGCCGAGAAAAGCCUCUAGAUAGAAAAUAGGUGCCCGUACCGCAAACCGACACAGGUAGUCAAGAUGAGAAUUCUAAGGUGAGCGAGCGAACUCUCGUUAAGGAACUCGGCAAAAUGACCCCGUAACUUCGGGAGAAGGGGUGCUCUUUAGGGUUAACGCCCAGAAGAGCCGCAGUGAAUAGGCCCAAGCGACUGUUUAUCAAAAACACAGGUCUCUGCUAAACCGUAAGGUGAUGUAUAGGGGCUGACGCCUGCCCGGUGCUGGAAGGUUAAGAGGAGUGGUUAGCUUCUGCGAAGCUACGAAUCGAAGCCCCAGUAAACGGCGGCCGUAACUAUAACGGUCCUAAGGUAGCGAAAUUCCUUGUCGGGUAAGUUCCGACCCGCACGAAAGGCGUAACGAUUUGGGCACUGUCUCAACGAGAGACUCGGUGAAAUCAUAGUACCUGUGAAGAUGCAGGUUACCCGCGACAGGACGGAAAGACCCCGUGGAGCUUUACUGUAGCCUGAUAUUGAAAUUCGGCACAGCUUGUACAGGAUAGGUAGGAGCCUUUGAAACGUGAGCGCUAGCUUACGUGGAGGCGCUGGUGGGAUACUACCCUAGCUGUGUUGGCUUUCUAACCCGCACCACUUAUCGUGGUGGGAGACAGUGUCAGGCGGGCAGUUUGACUGGGGCGGUCGCCUCCUAAAAGGUAACGGAGGCGCUCAAAGGUUCCCUCAGAAUGGUUGGAAAUCAUUCAUAGAGUGUAAAGGCAUAAGGGAGCUUGACUGCGAGACCUACAAGUCGAGCAGGGUCGAAAGACGGACUUAGUGAUCCGGUGG
This 822-nucleotide ribosomal RNA is filed under the name Staphylococcus aureus. RNAcentral describes it as "partial 23S ribosomal RNA". It matches the Rfam family "Bacterial large subunit ribosomal RNA", at positions 1603 to 2426 of the family's 2925-position model. Lineage: Bacteria; Bacillati; Bacillota; Bacilli; Caryophanales; Staphylococcaceae. The record is from RNAcentral.